This 320-nucleotide ribosomal RNA is filed under the name uncultured bacterium. RNAcentral's name for it is "bacterial SSU rRNA". It matches the Rfam family "Bacterial small subunit ribosomal RNA", at positions 85 to 422 of the family's 1533-position model. The record is from RNAcentral.
CGCAAGGUGAGUGGCAGACGGGUGAGUAACGGGUGGGAACCUUCCCUGUGGUACGGAAUAACUUCGGGAAACCAAAGCUAAUACCGUAUAUCCCCUCCGGGGGAAAGAUUUAUCGCCAUGGGAUGGGCCCGCGUUGGAUUAGCUAGUUGGUAGGGUAAUGGCCUACCAAGGCAACGAUCCAUAGCUGGUCUGAGAGGAUGAUCAGCCACACUGGGACUGAGACACGGCCCAGACUCCUACGGGAGGCAGCAGUGGGGAAUAUUGGACAAUGGGCGCAAGCCUGAUCCAGCCAUGCCGCGUGAGUGAAGAAGGCCUUAGGG